Molecule: unclassified non-coding RNA, 689 nt
Filed under: Hevea brasiliensis (rubber tree)
Lineage: Eukaryota; Viridiplantae; Streptophyta; Magnoliopsida; Malpighiales; Euphorbiaceae
Source: RNAcentral
GAAUCCAAUAUAUUUAAACAGGGUACUAUUGUUUCUUGGAAUACCAUAGCAAAUCAUCUUAGUACUUUUCUGAUGGCAAUAGGCACGUUUAACUUAAAUUUUUAAUUUACAAAAGAGGAAAAAGUAAACUGACAGGACCACAACUUGGUUACUCGAUUCCCUCGCUAGAAUUUUGGAUCAGCAUAACUCCCAGAGCCACAACCGAGGCGUAGAUGGAGUUGGGAACUUUCUGCAACACUUUGCCCACACCAGGCACGCCCUCAGUCGCCCUUUUUGCCGCCAUUGCCACUGCUGGAGCCACUACCAAUGCAAUCAACAGAUUAAGACUCACGGCAGCUACUGUAUCGGCUGUCAAUUUCCUGAUGAACUCGGCAAACUCUUCCCGGUCGAGCAGCCCAUCCAGGUUAACAUCAUAUUCCUGCAUCAUGGCUCUAAGGCUCUCCUUCGUCGGCGGAUCGUUAUGGCGCCCCGGCAGGUGCUUGUUGAUAUCAUUGUAUACGCAGAGGACGGCGAUGUAGACGUCCUCGAAGGAGAGGGCGACCUUGCCGGAGUCUUCCUUGAUGCGGUCGAACACCUUGUCCGUCAUCUUCCGGAUCUGCUUCUCCCUCCAUUGCCGCCCGUGAAGCUUCUCCUGCACAGUGGUCAAGAUCUGCCCCAUGGUUGAGGGAGGGAGACGAUGAUGGUGAUGU